This 207-nucleotide ribosomal RNA is filed under the name uncultured bacterium. RNAcentral describes it as "partial 16S ribosomal RNA". It matches the Rfam family "Bacterial small subunit ribosomal RNA", at positions 568 to 775 of the family's 1533-position model. The record is from RNAcentral.
UGCGUAGGUGGUUUCUUAAGUCAGAGGUGAAAGGCUACGGCUCAACCGUAGUAAGCCUUUGAAACUGGGAAACUUGAGUGCAGGAGAGGGGAGUGGAAUUCCUAGUGUAGCGGUGAAAUGCGUAGAUAUUAGGAGGAACACCAGUUGCGAAGGCGGCUCUCUGGACUGUAACUGACACUGAGGCACGAAAGCGUGGGGAGCAAACAG